Long non-coding RNA from Brachypodium distachyon (stiff brome), 1750 nucleotides. RefSeq lists it as uncharacterized. Lineage: Eukaryota; Viridiplantae; Streptophyta; Magnoliopsida; Poales; Poaceae. The record is from RefSeq and is a predicted model, not a curated record. The transcript has 4 exons.
GCCGCGUUUUCAUCGCCCCGAAACGUUUUUUCUUUCUCUCCUCACCCGGCCAGACUCGCAUGCCGCCAGCCGCCUCCACCUUCCCUUCUCCUGCGGGCGCCGCCUCCUCGGCUCCUCCCCUCGCGGCCCGCCUCUGCGGCCUCAGCCCGCCUCGCCCGCCCCCACGCCCCCUCCUGCUUCCCUUUCCUUGCGGGCGCCGCCGCCUCCUCCCCCCGCGGCCCGCCUCUGCCCCGCCUCUGCCUUCCCGCUCAACUCCCGAUCUCCACCUGCUCUUCUCUGCAUCUUCGCCAUCGCGCACGCGCCCCCGCCCCCUGCCCCCCUCUCCACCUUCCACGACGGCAGCCCGCAGCCUCCUGCCCCCUGCAUCGCCUUCCAUGGCGGCCCGCCGUAUCCUCCUUGUGUUUGCCCUCGGGAGCAGCGGAAGGGAGCAGCCGGGCAGCGCUGCGCACGGGAGCAGCGAGCAGAAUCGGGAUUUGGUCAUAGACGGGAUUUGAGGAGAGGAAGAAGAGGGGAUUUGAGAAGGAGGAAGAAGAGUCGCCACAUUAGUGGAGUAUUAGUUAUCUUUUGUCGUAGUAUUUCUUGCUGCUUACCAACUGAACAUGGGUUUUCUCUUGUGUGCAACAACAGGCUGAGCAUGCAGGAGCAGAAACUGCUCGCUGACGACAUUUUCACAUUUUGGCAUAACCGUGAAGCUGAUGCAUCUUCUGGUGGUGAGCUCGUCUUUGGUGGCGUGGACUCGAAUCACUAUAAGGGAAACCACACCUAUGUCCCUGUGAGACGCAGAGGUUAAUGGCAAUUUAACAUGGGGGAUCUUUUGGUUGAUGGCCAGUCGACUGGUUUCUGUGCCAAAGGGUGUGCUGAUAUUGUGUACUCCGGGAAUUCCCUGCUGGCCGGACCAAUAUGUAUCUGUAUCUUGAAAUCAAGGAUCCAUUUAUUCUAUCAAUCUGGUGCUAUAUUUUCGUGAUCAUGGACACUUGACUCAGAUUAAUUAUUAGCAUCGAGAUAAUGCUAGAUAGUGUUUGGAGAAAGGCCUGCAAGUAUUUUUUUUAAGGAAAAUGCUCGCAAAUGUUGAUAACAUUACAACUAAUGCCAAUAUUCCAUGAUAAUAAUCGUAUCUUUGUGCUGUUUCCAGGCUAUAGUUGCUCAGGUGAACCAUGCAAUCGGUGCCGAGAGAUUAUCAACACAGAAUGUAAAGAAGAGGUGAGCCAGUACGGAGAGAUGACCCUUCACUUGUUAUUGGUACAGACAAAGCCACAGAAAGUGUGCAGUCUUUGAUGUAACGGAAUUGAAUCUGUUGUGGGUAAAAAAUAUGUCGGCUCGGUCGUUAUUUGCACAGCCUGUGAGAUGGCCAUUGUGUGGAUAGAGAACCAGCUUCGUGAAACAAAACGAAGGAGCUGAUACUGCAAUAUGUUAACCAGAACAGAACUUUAUUCCCGGAACACCUCGUCUAUCUCUGCGAUGUGGAGUACUUCCCAAGCUGAUGAACAGUGUGAAGUAGUUAUCCUUUUAACGGGGAGUGGAUCUGGAAGCUUGAGAGUUGAGACUGAAAAUAGUCCAUGGCAACAAAUGUUGAGCCCAGUUUAAGGGGACAGUGGUGAUGGAAAAAAGAGAGAAGGAGAUUUCAUUUCUGGUAAGGGAUCAUGAAAAUUUAAUUUCCUUUCUAUGCUCAAUGUACGAAAGUAGGUAAUGGCCAGAACACUGUGUUGUAGGAAGAUAUCUGGAUUGGUGUCAAAUUAAUCUUUGGUUGUCU